RNAcentral lists this ribosomal RNA (253 nucleotides) under uncultured bacterium. Its description in RNAcentral is "partial 16S ribosomal RNA". It matches the Rfam family "Bacterial small subunit ribosomal RNA", at positions 524 to 776 of the family's 1533-position model. The record is from RNAcentral.
UACGUAGGGGGCGAGCGUUGUCCGGAUUUAUUGGGCGUAAAGAGCGUGUAGGCGGCCAGGUAGGUCUGCUGUGAAAACUCGAGGCUCAACCUCGAGACGUCGGCGGAAACCAUCUGGCUGGAGUCCGGGAGAGGAGAGUGGAAUUCCUGGUGUAGCGGUGAAAUGCGCAGAUAUCAGGAAGAACACCCGUGGCGAAAGCGGCUCUCUGGAACGGUACUGACGCUGAGACGCGAAAGCGUGGGGAGCGAACAGG